GAUGAACGCUGGCGGCGUGCCUAAUACAUGCAAGUCGAGCGAACGGACGAGAAGCUUGCUUUUUUGAUGUUAGCGUCGGACAGGUGAGUAAAACGUGGAUAACCCACCUAUAAGACUGGGAUAACUUCGGGAAACCGGAGCUAAUAUCGGAUAAUCUUUUUAACCGCAUGGUUCAAAAGUGAAAGACGGUCUUGCUGUCAUUUAUAGAUUGAUCCGCGCUGCAUUAGCUAGUUGGUAAGGUAACGGCUUACCAAGGCAACGAUGCAUAGCCGACCUGAGAGAGUGAUCGGCCACACUGGAACUGAGACACGGUCCAGACUCCUACGGGAGGCAGCAGUAGGGAAUCUUCCGAAAAGGGCGAAAGCCUGACGGAGCAACGCCGCGUGAGUGAUGAAGGUCUUCGGAUCGUAAAACUCUGUUAUUAGGGAAGAACAUAUGUGUAAGUAACUGUGCAAAGAUUGACGGUACCUAAUCAGAAAGCCACGGCUAACUACGUG
This 497-nucleotide ribosomal RNA is filed under the name uncultured bacterium. RNAcentral describes it as "partial 16S ribosomal RNA". It matches the Rfam family "Bacterial small subunit ribosomal RNA", at positions 28 to 507 of the family's 1533-position model. The record is from RNAcentral.